GACGAACGCUGGCGGCGUGCCUAAUACAUGCAAGUAGAACGCUGAAGCGAGGAGCUUGCUCUUCUUGGAUGAGUUGCGAACGGGUGAGUAACGCGUAGGUAACCUGCCUGGUAGCGGGGGAUAACUAUUGGAAACGAUAGCUAAUACCGCAUAAAAUUGAUUAUUGCAUGAUAAUUAAUUGAAAGAUGCAACUGCAUCACUACCAGAUGGACCUGCGUUGUAUUAGCUAGUUGGUGAGGUAACGGCUCACCAAGGCGACGAUACAUAGCCGACCUGAGAGGGUGAUCGGCCACACUGGGACUGAGACACGGCCCAGACUCCUACGGGAGGCAGCAGUAGGGAAUCUUCGGCAAUGGGGGGAACCCUGACCGAGCAACGCCGCGUGAGUGAAGAAGGUUUUCGGAUCGUAAAGCUCUGUUGUAAGAGAAGAACGGGUGUGAGAGUGGAAAGUUCACGCUGUGACGGUAUCUUACCAGAAAGGGACGGCUAACUACGUG
RNAcentral lists this ribosomal RNA (497 nucleotides) under uncultured bacterium. Its description in RNAcentral is "partial 16S ribosomal RNA". It matches the Rfam family "Bacterial small subunit ribosomal RNA", at positions 28 to 507 of the family's 1533-position model. The record is from RNAcentral.